GGGGGUGUAAAGGUAUCGACGGGAUUCAUCGCGGUACCAGUUGGCACGCAGAGGGUCCGCAGGCCUCUUUAAAAAGCGGAGAACAGUAAAUGCAAAUUAUGCAAAUGCUGAUGACUACGCCUAUGCGCUUGCUGCCUAAGGUAUAGUCAACAAAGGCUCGCUGCAUUGUCUUCGGGCCGGUUCCUGGUUUGAGUACUCACGGCUUUCCAGGGGCCUAAUUUAGUGAGUUAGUCUACGGUUGCCGCUUCGACCUCCGCGGAUGAAAUGCUUCGAGGCUGGCCUAGCUUGAUCGAGUGGACUAGAGCUCGUUAGGUAAGAUCAAAGUGCCCACUAAGCGUGUAGAUGACUGGCGCCAAAGCUUCUCGGACCCGGGUUCGAUUCCCGGCACCUCCA
This 393-nucleotide transfer-messenger RNA is filed under the name Oligoflexia bacterium. It matches the Rfam family "transfer-messenger RNA". Rfam says of the family: Bacterial tmRNA, also known as 10Sa RNA or SsrA, is named for its dual tRNA and mRNA-like properties. Its role is to liberate the mRNA from a stalled ribosome. The record is from RNAcentral. Lineage: Bacteria; Pseudomonadati; Bdellovibrionota; Oligoflexia.